Molecule: long non-coding RNA, 461 nt
Organism: Eupeodes corollae
Lineage: Eukaryota; Metazoa; Arthropoda; Insecta; Diptera; Syrphidae
Exons: 3
Source: RefSeq, a predicted model, not a curated record
UUCAUUACCGAAUAAUAGAACAGUGAUAAUAUUGUACGUUAGAAGAAAGGUUUCUUUAAAAUGAAAUACCAGGCUUUAGUUUUUGUUGUAUUUUUUGUUAUUUUGAGUUGUUGUGGAGGACAAAUUAAGAUCGGAGCAUACGAUUACUGCGACAAACCUUGCGAGGAAAGUAGUGAUAUUAUUUGCGCAUCCAAUCAGACUUGUUCUUCGAUUUUCGAUAAUGUUUGCGUGAUGAAAAAGAGAAAUUGUGAUUUCGGAGAUAGUUUCAAAUCCAAACCAUUGUCUUCUUGUCUAAUUGGUACAAUGUGCAAUUUAAUUUAAAACAUCAAAAGUGGUUAUUUCUGUUCGUGAAACACUAGAGUUUAAAAGAUUGCUAUCAAAAUUUAGUGUGAUCUAAUCAUCUGUUGUUCAAAGAACAUAUUGUUAUGGAAAAUUUAAAAUAUAUUUAUGUCCAAUAAUAA